Molecule: ribosomal RNA, 254 nt
Filed under: uncultured bacterium
Lineage: Bacteria
Description: partial 16S ribosomal RNA
Rfam family: Bacterial small subunit ribosomal RNA
Source: RNAcentral
CACGUAGGCACCAAGCGUUUGUCCGGAUUUAUUGGGCGUAAAGAGCUCGUAGGCGGUUCGGUAAGUCGGGUGUGAAAACUCUGGGCUCAACCCAGAGCCGCCACCCGAUACUGCUGUGACUCGAGUGCGGUAGGGGAGCGGGGAAUUCCCGGUGUAGCGGUGAAAUGCGCAGAUAUCGGGAGGAACACCAAUGGCGAAGGCAGCUCGCUGGGACGGUACUGACGCUGAGGCGCGAAAGCGUGGGAGCGAACAGG